GGGGAUGUGGCUCAGUUGCUGAGUGUUUGCCUCCUAUGCACAAGGCCCUGGGUUGAGUCCCCAGCAUCGCCA
Non-coding RNA from Ictidomys tridecemlineatus (thirteen-lined ground squirrel), 72 nucleotides. The record is from Rfam. NCBI's taxonomy places the organism in Eukaryota, Metazoa, Chordata, Mammalia, Rodentia, Sciuridae.